This 687-nucleotide ribosomal RNA is filed under the name Triticum aestivum (bread wheat). RNAcentral describes it as "partial small subunit ribosomal RNA". Lineage: Eukaryota; Viridiplantae; Streptophyta; Magnoliopsida; Poales; Poaceae. The record is from RNAcentral.
AUGGCGGCGGAGCCCACCAAAAACGACGCCCACGUCGUGGAGAUCCCGGUCACCGGCGACGGAGCGGAGCCAGCCAGCGGCGCGUUCCCCGGCAUGGCGGCGUCGGGGCACCACCCGCUGGGCGAGAUCGCCGACAGCGGGGGCCACCUGCUGCUGCUCAAGCUGUGGCAGCGGGAGGAGUCCCGCCUGAACCGCCGCGCGUGCGCGCUCGAGGCGGUCAUGGACGCGGCGCGGCGGGACGCCUUCUACCUCUGCGCGGCCUUCCUCGCCCUCCACGGCCUCUCCCUCGCGCUCCUCUUCGCCGCCUCCGUCGCGGGCGGCGCCCCGUCGCGCGCCUGCAGGAGGUGGUGGGCGCCCUCGUCCCUCUCGCUGGCCGCCUCCCUCGCGCUCGCCGCGGCCGUGCAGCUCCGCGUCUGCGCCUACUGGCGCGCCGCGCGGCGGCUGCGGCGGGAGCGCGGCGACGCCCGGGCCCUCGCGCGGUGCGUGCAGGAGCUGCGCAUGAAGGGCGCGUCCUUCGACCUGUCCAAGGAGCCGCAGUGCGGGGUGACGAGGACCAACUGCGCCAGCGUCGAGGGCGCGGGGGCGUGGGGCCCGCUCCGGUGGUGCUACCGGAACGUCGUCACCGCCUGCCUCCUCGCCGUCGCCGCCGUAGCCUUGCCCUCCGGCAAGCUCAUCCUGUGCGCCUAG